Molecule: long non-coding RNA, 4692 nt
Organism: Bubalus bubalis (water buffalo)
Lineage: Eukaryota; Metazoa; Chordata; Mammalia; Artiodactyla; Bovidae
Exons: 2
Source: RefSeq, a predicted model, not a curated record
ACCCCUUGGACUGCAGCCUACCAGGCUCCUCCGUCCAUGGGAUUUUCUAGGCAAGAGUACUGGAGUGGGGUGCCAUUGCCUUCUCCAGCAGAGGUGAAUAGCUAUUGUUAAAAGCUGAUUAAAAGAGAAAUAGAGAUCUAACCCUGUUAGAAUUAAAAUAAGCACAGAAGUCCAAAGAGGCAUAUCUGAAGCAGCAGGUGAUUAAGAAGGGGAAUUACUUGGAGUAAACCAAGGACUGCUUAGAUCACCUCUUGUCAUCAAUGUGAUGAGCAGGAGAUGGAAUCUUACCAGCUGGUUAGCCCAGCCUUAGAUGGCACUGAAUGUGGGCCAGGCUGGCCAGGAACUAUCUGAGUUAAUCUUUGUGAACUGAAUCCCAGCAAUGGGAACUGGAAACUCAGGUUUCUCUCUACCCAGCUAUGGAAUUUUGGUUCUCAUGCACCAUUUACAUUUUGCCUUCUCACUCCAUGUACCACCGGUUUUACCAACAACUGUUGUAGGUGACUUUGCUCUGGGAAGAAACUCCUAGAAAGGGUGGAAUUUCUCUUUUUAUUACACACUUUAUUCCAAACAACGUGUAAAUCGGGGCUAAGGCAAUAGUCUCAAGGCAGACAGACAGUUUGCCUCUGAUGACAACAUCGCAGCAGGGCGUUGCAAUCUGCUGAAUUCAGAGUAAGCUCACAGCACUGGCUGUGGCCCUGGGCAGCCUGAAGCAGCAGAGACAGGUGGGCAGGGUACCUACCUCAUGGCUCAGAGGAAACUAUUGACUGGAAAGUGUUUUCCCUUUGUUCUUCUCAGUUGCUUUUAACUGGGUGAAAUGCUGCUCCCACGGGAUUUCUAAGUCUGAUAGCCUUAAGCUAGUUUUGGCCAGAUGACUUUUAUGGACAGUUGUCUUUACUUUGUGAAAAUGGAAGCAGCAAUAAGAAUUAUAGGAAUUUAUGGGUUUUAGCAGUUGUUUAAUUUUUUUUAUAGAAUGCAUUUGCAGGAGACUAAUGUUUAGGGGUGGCUGAAACACUCAGAGAGCCUCAAAAGCUUUAUGGUAUGUUGAGAUAGAGAAUUUUCAAAUGUGCCCAGUUUCUAAGUUCUCUGAAGCCCUUCUGAGACCUUUCCUUAGAAGAACACUUGGCCCCUGUAAACAUGUUUACUAUGUGUCUUCUAUCAUUUGCAAUGUUGGUUCUAAUACUACAUCAGGAAAUGGGAUUCUGGGGUACAGAAGUAAUACAGAAGGGCCUCUAUGAAUUUGAGAGUCAUCUAUUCAGCUUAAUCAAGUGGGAAGUUAAAUCUAUGGUCUAUAUAGUUUAGUAAUAAAAGAAACAAUAUUUCUCCAAUUCACCGAGUUCUUGCCUUGGCAGACAAUUUUCCUCAAGUCCUUGGCAGGAUAUACCCAACACUAAGAACUUAUAAAUUCUCCAGCAGGGGAAGACGGUUCCCGAUAAAGGGUCUUGUUGGCCACCACCUCAUGGACACUUUUUGAAUUCCUCAUUGUAAGGGCCUUGGAACGUAUUGGACUACGUGUCACCAUUUUCCUAAAUAUUGAUUAGUUUUCUCUCAUUUUGAUGCAGUGGAUGAAGAUGAGGUUGGGAAUUGCUACCCAGCAUCACUGAGCCUGGGCUCCAUGUGGGUCCAUCUUCAUCUCCCCUUGCUUUUCUUCUACUUCCUUUGUGACUAGCUCAUCUGUAGAAAUCCUUCCAUGUCCUUCGGUAGACUUGGCACCAAGCAAGGCAGAAAUUUUGAAGCUCUCCAGCAACAGAGACCCAGACUGUCACCCGGGAAGCCGCACCUGGACUGGACCCAUUUGUACCAAUGGCCCUGGGUCCUGCACUAUCCGCACAGCCCUAAAAAUAGCUCUCAAUUAACAUUGCAUUUCAAGAAUUGGAAAAUUUCCCAGAAGUCCAUUCUUUUCUCUUUUUUCUAUUUCAUUACAUUUUGCAGUAAUAAUACACAAGCCUGCAGAAAACAUGACGGGUAAUGAAAAAAUGUAAUUAAUAUAAGCAGUGUAAAGCGUGUUUUUUUCUCUGUUGUCCUUGCAGAAAAUUGCUGCUUUAAACCAAGCAGGAUGUGAAAAUACAUAAAAACCCCCUUUAAUCUGCCAUGGUUUGUAAAUAUCUUAUGCAAAACGGUUAAGUCAACUGUCAGAUUUUUUUAACAUAAGUCACAUAUUCUUGUAAAAAAGUUUUUUUUUUCUCUUGCAGGACAAAUUAAGUGAUUUGGAUAAUUCCUUUUGAGCAGGUGAGGAUUUUCCACAAUAAACCUGAAAACAAGAAGAAUCUGAUUUGUGGAUGGCAACUCUGUCCAUCGGGUUUAUCUAAACAGCAGUUCAGUGUGCUGCCUCUGCGAACACUCAACUUUGGUUCAGUACUUAGGAGAAAAUUGUUAAGUUUUGAAUUCCAAGUUCAGUGGAAGAAGAAGCAGAUGAUUUUCCCAUUUUAGUGACCCCGUGGUUAGCAGCAAUAAAGCAACAGGAACAAAUCUGGCUUGAAACGUGUCCAAACCCACAUUUCCCAGUGAGCACAAAAGGCAAAAAAGUAAGAUGUGCAGCGGAUAUUAACAUGAGUAAUCUUGGAAAUCUAAAUAUUAAACAUAUGUCAAAGAUUAUCAAAUGCACAUCCACAUGUCUUAUAGAGAUGUCUUUCAUCCGAGGAGCUCCAGCCCAUUUCAUUGUGCAUAAGCUAGUUCUCUAGCCUCAUCAAAGUUUGGUGUAUCCAGUGACAACGGCACCAGUUUUUCAUAGAUGGGUGCUGUGAAGCAAUAACUCCUCAGCUCCUGCCCCUUCCUGAAAGAUAGUCUUCUUAACCUCUACCCCCAUCAGGAGAUGAAAGAAGUGAAAAUGUUAGUUGCUCAGUUAUGUUUGCAUGUUUGUGACCGCAUGGACUGUAGCCCACCAGGCUCCUCUGUCUUUGGGAUUUCCCAGGCUAGAAUACUGGAUUGGGUUGCCAUUUCCUCAUCCAGGGGAUCUUCCUCACCCAGGGAUCGAACCUGGGUCUCCCGCAUUGCAGGCAGAUUCUUUCACCUGAAGAUAAUGUCAUUUAAAUCCAGGUUGAUUAUUUGCCCAGUGAGCUGCACAGUUUGGGAAAUUUCCUGGAGUCUUUGAUUUGUGUUCUGAUGCUGAAGUCUAUAGAACCCCACCCUCAACUCCAUCUACAGGUCUUGUAUCAUAGUGAUCCAGAGAAGAAUGUUCCAGACCCUGAGAAAUGUAUUAUCUUAUCUCCUGGACACUGUGUAAGAAGCCUGUGACAAUUCCUCCUGUCCAUUGGUGACAUGUGCUUACAGUACUUGGCAUCUUUUUGCCUCCAAACCUUAAUCUGCGGGAUAAUUGAAGCUAUACUUUGGAAAUACCUAAGGGAGUAACAUUAUAAUCGGGAGCUAGCCUAGUUUUUUCUGGGUGUAUACCAGCUGUUGAACAAUAUUAUUUAAAAAAUCUCUUGGUGCAGCAUGAUCUUACUUUUUCUUAGCCUCAUUUUUGUCAUCUGUAAAUUGUAAAAGAAAAGCUGACUCUCAACAUUUCUCAAUGAGAUCAUGUUUAUGAGAAGACUUUGUAAACUCUAGACCUUUAUACAAAUGUGGGAUAGUAUCAUUACCUUAAAGGAACAUCUCCUAGAAAGAGGCCCCCUCCCACCCUGCCCCAGGGAUAACUGGUGCACUGAAAUCCAAUUUCGUUUCCACAUCCAUUCAUCCUUGGCAAAAUGUCAUAGUCCUCAUUAUGAAGCUACCUGUGUGGCCCUAUGCAUAUGGCUUAGUAGGCAGGCUGAGUGAGGCGGAGAGUAAAUACUUACCUCUGCGCUACUUUUCUCAGGGAGUCUGGCACUGAGCGGGUAUUCAACAAACACGUUCUGAAUUGUGUGGAGGUAAAAUGACUUGGGAAUGAACAAGGUGAAAGAAUACAAGAUAAAGCGCCAGUUUGGUUGAACCUCUCCAGGCAGUGUCUGGGGCACUGCAAGGAGACAGGUUGCUGGAGAACAAGAGAGAAGAACCAGAUGUGAUCUUGGAGGCUGAGAGUGCCCAGAGUGGUCACAGCGGGGGCACAGCCCUCUGGCCCCUCCCUCCUCCUCCUGAUAACUUCUCUCACCUGCUCCUUCUAUCUUCUAUCACCUGGAGAAGGAGCUGCUGAGUCUUUUCUUGCCUGUGGCGUAUAGGAUUUUCCUCAUUCUGUGAGGUAGAGGAAGCUGAAAUUCUCUGGGGAAUAGCAUGGCUUCUCCAGUUCUGUUCUUUAGGGAAUUUGCAGGAGCUAUGGAAGACAACUGGCAGACUAUCUCUUGAUGGCAAUGUAGAGGGGAGGGGAAGGGAUGUCAUUUUAGGGAAAGAUCUGAAAUAUGUCAACAUGCACUUUUGGGUGGAAGAUUUCUUACUGAAUUUGUUCUUAAACUGAAGUGUCUGUUUUGGUCAUUAAAAUAACACAUCACUUAUGAUAAAAAUAAUGAUCUAUUAAUUUAUCUCUUUUGACCCAUUUCCCUGGUGAAUACAGGAUGCACUGACAAUGCCUGCCAAAGAAGGAGAUGUGGGUUCGAUCCCUGGUUUGGGAUGAUCCUCUGGAGGAGGAAAUGGUAUUCUUGCCUGGGAAAUCCCAUGGACAGAGGAGCCUGGUAGACUAUAGUCCAUGGUGUCACAGAAGAGUCGGAUACAACUUACUGAUGAAACAACAGCAACAAUGUUCUCCUAGAGCACAUUUUGAGAAAUAAAGUAUAUUCUGAAAUUGUU